Molecule: non-coding RNA, 44 nt
Organism: Schistosoma mansoni
Lineage: Eukaryota; Metazoa; Platyhelminthes; Trematoda; Strigeidida; Schistosomatidae
Source: Rfam
AUCCAGCUGACGAGUCCCGAAUAGAACGAAUGCGCGUUCUGGAU